Molecule: ribosomal RNA, 496 nt
Filed under: uncultured bacterium
Lineage: Bacteria
Description: partial 16S ribosomal RNA
Rfam family: Bacterial small subunit ribosomal RNA
Source: RNAcentral
GACGAACGCUGGCGGCGUGCCUAAUACAUGCAAGUAGAACGCUGAAGAGAGGAGCUUGCUCUUCUUGGAUGAGUUGCGAACGGGUGAGUAACGCGUAGGUAACCUGCCUUGUAGCGGGGGAUAACUAUUGGAAACGAUAGCUAAUACCGCAUAACAAUGGAUGACACAUGUCAUUUAUUUGAAAGGGGCAAUUGCUCCACUACAAGAUGGACCUGCGUUGUAUUAGCUAGUAGGUGAGGUAAUGGCUCACCUAGGCGACGAUACAUAGCCGACCUGAGAGGGUGAUCGGCCACACUGGGACUGAGACACGGCCCAGACUCCACGGGAGGCAGCAGUAGGGAAUCUUCGGCAAUGGGGGCAACCCUGACCGAGCAACGCCGCGUGAGUGAAGAAGGUUUUCGGAUCGUAAAGCUCUGUUGUAAGUCAAGAACGGGUGUGAGAGUGGAAAGUUCACACUGUGACGGUAGCUUACCAGAAAGGGACGGCUAACUACGUG